CAGGUGAGGGAGCUAGAAAUAGGUGAGAGAGAUUAAGAGGUACAAACCUCCAGUUGCAAAAUAAGUAAGUCACGGGUAUGAAAUGCACAGUGUAGGGAAUACGGUCAAUAACUAUGUAAUAUUUU
Molecule: non-coding RNA, 125 nt
Organism: Vicugna pacos (alpaca)
Lineage: Eukaryota; Metazoa; Chordata; Mammalia; Artiodactyla; Camelidae
Source: RefSeq, a predicted model, not a curated record